UGCUUUCUUGCCAUGUGGGUUUUGCAUUUGAGAUUCUGUCGCUGUGAUUAAUUUUUGGCAGCUUGGGUGCAGUGGUGCAAGCUGAAAACACAUGGACAUAACAUCACCAUAUACAGUUUUUGAUGUUACAAAUUUGAGAAUGGUCAAUGUGAGGUCUGCAGUGCUUUACUGAGCGUGUGAUACUGGUUGGACGGCCUGUAGGAUAUAUCAUGACCCAGUUACUCAAGAUGAUCCACAGACUCCAGCCUCAUUCCCAACUUCUCAAAUACCAAUGCUUUGUCAGUAGCCCUCAGUGUCAGACAUCAAGGCACCCGUUAGUGGCUGUAUAGUGUGAGUGGGCAGAAGUUUGCUGCAGAGAUCAGCCUCUCAUUGGGCGGAAUGAGCCACCCGCUGAAGUCCCGCCCUACCACCUCUGGUUGUGUAGCAGUU
Epinephelus lanceolatus (giant grouper) is the source of this 429-nucleotide non-coding RNA. The record is from RefSeq and is a predicted model, not a curated record. NCBI's taxonomy places the organism in Eukaryota, Metazoa, Chordata, Actinopteri, Perciformes, Serranidae.